UACGUAGGGUCCGAGCGUUGUCCGGAAUUAUUGGGCGUAAAGGGCUCGUAGGCGGUUUGUCGCGUCGGGAGUGAAAACUCAGGGCUCAACCCUGAGCGUGCUUCCGAUACGGGCAGACUAGAGGUAUGCAGGGGAGAACGGAAUUCCUGGUGUAGCGGUGGAAUGCGCAGAUAUCAGGAGGAACACCGAUGGCGAAGGCAGAUCUCUGGGCCGUAACUGACGCUGAGGAGCGAAAGCGUGGGGAGCGAACAGG
RNAcentral lists this ribosomal RNA (253 nucleotides) under uncultured bacterium. Its description in RNAcentral is "partial 16S ribosomal RNA". It matches the Rfam family "Bacterial small subunit ribosomal RNA", at positions 524 to 776 of the family's 1533-position model. The record is from RNAcentral.